CUGAAACCUGAAAUCCUUUUCCCUUUCUCUUUCUCUCUCUCGUGUCUCGUCUCUGCUAGGCCUGAUGGUCGCCACUCCGAACUCCAACGACGACCGCGCCAACCCAGCUACUCCACCGGCCAACAAAACUUCGACCCCCAUGAGCCCAGCCCCUCACACGUGGCUUAAGACCCUCAACGGAGCCUUCGAAGCUUCAACUAUUCAAUGAACUGUUUUCCUGCGAACUCUGGCGUUGUUCGGGAUAAUGGUUGGUAUUGUUGAGUUAAGGGAGUCAAGACUUAAAAGCCAUCAGAGUUUAGGGAAAGGUUCGUCAGAAUCCAUGGUGAUUCUGAACCUUUAAGUGUAGAUCCAAUCUCGUUUGAGUCGUUCCAAGAGAAACCACCACCACCAUGAUGUUUCUCGGGCUUUGGGCUUCGAAGCCCAGUCACUGUUUUCCCAAACCACCAUCAUGGGGUGGUGGCGCCGCCGCCGUCGCCGGAGCUCCGAUGGGAGUCUCGGACAAUCGCCACUUUUGGUAGUUCCGAGGUUCAUCUCGAGCUCCAAACAUCACCCUCAAGCUCGUUGCACUAUCCCAAGCACUAUGGAUAAAAGACUAUGGGAAAAAUCUUGGUUGAUAAUUCUUGCUGAGAAAUAUUAUAUAUCUAAGAACCUGAGAUGUGGCUUAAUACUUGGACCUCUUGUGGACUCCGGACUCGGACUUUUAUGAAUAGUAUUUUCAGAAGUCUUGUGUUAUUAAAGUUAAAAAAUUAUAAAUUUUCUGCAUUUUUUAUAGACUUUGAGAUAUGGUUUUAGUGUUAGAUGCCUGACAUAUUUGUAGGAAUUGUCCUAUGAGUGUGCGGAAGACGUGCUCGAUGUAGCGGGUCGUUACAGUAUGUUCCCAAGCACUUGUAGUUCUAUGACUCAAAUAUAUUAGGAAUUCGGACAUAAGAAUAUUGAACCUUACCCGAUAAGUCAAAAGUCAUAAAGCACAAAUAGGAGUUCAUUACUCACUGCAGGAUUGAGGUCAAGUCUCAAACGACCAUCGAUUGAUGAAUGUUGACUUCUAUAUUUUAACAGAGAUUAUCAGAAGUUCUUUCUUCCAUUGUGUCCCAGUCCAAUACAAUCUAUAUUGUAUACGACACCUCUAUUUCUUUGUGUCGCUACA
Humulus lupulus (European hop) is the source of this 1144-nucleotide long non-coding RNA. RefSeq lists it as uncharacterized. The record is from RefSeq and is a predicted model, not a curated record. Lineage: Eukaryota; Viridiplantae; Streptophyta; Magnoliopsida; Rosales; Cannabaceae. The transcript has 3 exons.